This 71-nucleotide transfer RNA is filed under the name Ectyoplasia ferox (brown encrusting octopus sponge). RNAcentral's name for it is "tRNA-Met". It matches the Rfam family "tRNA". Rfam says of the family: Transfer RNA (tRNA) molecules are approximately 80 nucleotides in length. Lineage: Eukaryota; Metazoa; Porifera; Demospongiae; Axinellida; Raspailiidae. The record is from RNAcentral.
AGUAGAAUAGACUAAAGGAAAGUUGCCAGACUCAUUAUCUGGAGAUGUAGGUUCGAAUCCGAUUUCUAUAU